ACAUAUGAUCUAAUCAUCAAAUCAAUCUACUCUAGAAUCUAUGAUAUGAUAUAUUGCAUAUAAAAUCUGAAAUAAUCAUAUGAUAAAAUUUGUAUGCAUGAAUGUGAGCAGUAGAUCAAAUCUACUUCUAUCUGAGUUCAGAACUCGAUAUCUGAGUGUGGAUUGAUGAUCGCUGCUGCUGAGAGACAUGAUAAAGAUGAUCUUUGCUGGUUGUUAGCAGCCGCAUAUACGUCCAGC
RNAcentral lists this long non-coding RNA (237 nucleotides) under Elaeis guineensis (African oil palm). Its description in RNAcentral is "long non-coding RNA (EGUI_LNC073808)". Lineage: Eukaryota; Viridiplantae; Streptophyta; Magnoliopsida; Arecales; Arecaceae. The record is from RNAcentral.